Molecule: ribosomal RNA, 543 nt
Filed under: uncultured bacterium
Lineage: Bacteria
Description: partial 16S ribosomal RNA
Rfam family: Bacterial small subunit ribosomal RNA
Source: RNAcentral
UGGGGAAUUUUGGACAAUGGGCGAAAGCCUGAUCCAGCAAUGCCGCGUGUGUGAAGAAGGCCUUCGGGUUGUAAAGCACUUUUGUCCGGAAAGAAAUCCUUGGCUCUAAUACAGUCGGGGGAUGACGGUACCGGAAGAAUAAGCACCGGCUAACUACAUGCCAGCAGCCGCGGUAAUACGUAGGGUGCAAGCGUUAAUCGGAAUUACUGGGCGUAAAGCGUGCGCAGGCGGUUUGCUAAGACCGAUGUGAAAUCCCCGGGCUCAACCUGGGAACUGCAUUGGUGACUGGCAGGCUAGAGUAUGGCAGAGGGGGGUAGAAUUCCACGUGUAGCAGUGAAAUGCGUAGAGAUGUGGAGGAAUACCGAUGGCGAAGGCAGCCCCCUGGGCCAAUACUGACGCUCAUGCACGAAAGCGUGGGGAGCAAACAGGAUUAGAUACCCUGGUAGUCCACGCCCUAAACGAUGUCAACUAGUUGUUGGGGAUUCAUUUCCUUAGUAACGUAGCUAACGCGUGAAGUUGACCGCCUGGGGAGUACGGUCGCAA